This 202-nucleotide ribosomal RNA is filed under the name uncultured bacterium. RNAcentral describes it as "partial 16S ribosomal RNA". It matches the Rfam family "Bacterial small subunit ribosomal RNA", at positions 1301 to 1500 of the family's 1533-position model. The record is from RNAcentral.
UAGGCUGCAACUCGCCUACACGAAGCUGGAAUCGCUAGUAAUCGCGGAUCAGCACGCCGCGGUGAAUACGUUCCCGGGCCUUGUACACACCGCCCGUCACACCAUGAGAGUCUGUAACACCCAAAGUCGGUGGGAUAACCUUUAUAGGAGUCAGCCGUCUAAGGUAGGACAGAUGAUUAGGGUGAAGUCGUAACAAGGUAAC